GUGAUAGGUACUAACUGAGUGAACUAAGGGUAUCAUGAUGACACUUAUCCGCAAACACGGACAUAAACUUCAUUCCUAUAUUAACCAACCCAUAUUAUCCCAUAAUACCUAGGCCUGCCUCUUCAUCACUUUUUGUGUCCUUUUCAUUCAGGCGCGAUCACAUUAAGCCCGUUAUCCGUAUAUGCUUCAUAGCAGAGUGACCUAUUAGUUAUUAUGAUCCAAACA
RNAcentral lists this long non-coding RNA (225 nucleotides) under Lathyrus oleraceus (garden pea). RNAcentral's name for it is "Pisum sativum (pea) long non-coding RNA (PSAT_LNC026905)". The record is from RNAcentral. Lineage: Eukaryota; Viridiplantae; Streptophyta; Magnoliopsida; Fabales; Fabaceae.